CAAUAAUAUCAGGCAUUGGACAGAGGAGCAAAGUCAGAGACAGCAGCUGAGAAGUUGAGAGCUGGCGUCAUUAGAACAGGCUGGGAAAUAUGAGUGUGAGGCAUGUCUCGGCAGGAAGGUCCAGCAUUGGCCGGGGAACAAAGCAGACUUCUUGGCAUGCCCUCUCGCUGAGGCUAUGUGAACUGCUGGGCAGGCCGGCCUGCUUAAAGAUCUCACUCCGGACAAGUAAACACCAAUACCACCAACCUGAGUAGGCCUUCCAUGAAAUACUGGGGACACUAAGAAGCCACACCCCCUGAAACAUUCUAUGGUCAUUCAGCAUUUGAAGCAAAUUGGAAAGGUGAAAAACCUGAUAAGUGGGUGCCUCAUGAGCUCACCGAAAAUUUUUUUAAAAAUUGUCGUUUUGAAGUGUCAUCUUCUCUUAUUCUAUGCAACAACAAUGAACCAUUUCUUGAUUGGAUUGUGAUGUGCGAGGAAAAGUGGAUUUUAUAUGACAACUGGCGAUGACCAGCUCAGUGGUUGGACCGAGAAGAAGCUCCAAAACACUUCCCAAAGCCAAACUUGCACCAAAAAAGGUCCUGGUCACUGCUUGGUGGGCUGCUGCUGGUCUGAUCCACUGCAGCUUUCUGAAUCCCUGGGAAACCAUUACACCUGAGAAGUAUGCUCAGCAAACCAAUGAGAUGCACCAAAAACUGCAAUGCCUGCAGCUGGCUUUGGUCAACAGGAAGGGCCCAAUUCUUCUCCACCACAAUGUCCGACUGCACAUCACAACCCACGCUUCAGAAGUUGAACAAAUUGGGCUACGAAGUUUUGCCUCAUCUCCCAUGUUCACCUGACCUCUCGCUGAGAAGUAGCUUUGGAGCUUCUUCUCGGUCCAAACACUGAGCUGGUCAUCGCCGGUUGUCAUAUAAAAUCCACUUUUCCUCGCACAUCACAAUCCAAUCAAGAAAUGGUUCAUUGUUGUUGCAUAGAAUAAGAGAAGAUGACACUUCAAAACUACCACUUCUUCAAGCAUCUCAACAACUUUUUGCAGGGAAAAUGCUUCCACAACCAGCAGGAUGCAGAAAAUGCUCUCCAAAAGUUUGUCAAAUCCUGAAGCAUGGAUUUUUAGGCUACAGGAAUAAACGUAUUUCUCACUGGCAGAAAUUUAUUGAUUGUAAUGAUUCCUUUUUUGGUUAAAGACAUGUUUGAGCCUAGUUAUAACGACUUACAAUUCACGGUCCAAAACUGCAAGUACUUUUUGCACCAGCGAGAUGUGCAUAUGAGAAGCUUAUUUCACCAAGCCUCUUAUCUAGUCAUCUGUAUAAUUAUUUCAAGCACAGGAGGGACCCUACUUCUUACUGGGGAGGAUUAAGGAAGGCUUCCUGGAGGAUUGUCUCAGAGCUUGCUGCAGGUGCAUAUUGAAAAGCAAUUCAUUACAAUUUUCUAUAAGAGACUGUGGCUGAACAAUGAUACACAGAUUAGCAAACUGAGGCUUGGAGAAGUGGAAAACUUGCCUAAGAUUAAACAGCAUUAAAGGAACAGAGGCUGGGCUUGCAACUCAGCUCUGGGACUCCAAAGUCUGCCCUUUCCAACUACAUCGUCUUGCUGAUCGCGAGCUCAGUUGAUGGUAAAGACCUGUG
RNAcentral lists this long non-coding RNA (1622 nucleotides) under Homo sapiens (human). RNAcentral's name for it is "HSALNT0190798". The record is from RNAcentral. Lineage: Eukaryota; Metazoa; Chordata; Mammalia; Primates; Hominidae.